RNAcentral lists this unclassified non-coding RNA (240 nucleotides) under soil metagenome. RNAcentral describes it as "partial contains 5.8S ribosomal RNA, internal transcribed spacer 2, and large subunit ribosomal RNA". The record is from RNAcentral.
AACAUCGCGCACCUGCGGGAACCUGCGGAGGGAUCAUUAUCGAGUGUAAUCUACCCCUUUAAAAAAGGGUAGUACCUCCCGUCCUUUGCAGGCCUCUUUUUUUAUUAGGGGGGGCUUUUUAAGACUUUCUGCUUCGGCGGGGUUACUCCCGCCGGAACACCCUCAAAAAAUUCUCGAAAAAAAUCGUUCAGUCCGAGAACUUUUUAAAAAUAAAAUAAAACUUUUAACAAUGGAUCUCAG